This 535-nucleotide ribosomal RNA is filed under the name Dothiorella tectonae. RNAcentral's name for it is "eukaryotic LSU rRNA". The stretch from base 177 to 330 matches the Rfam family "5.8S ribosomal RNA". The record is from RNAcentral. Lineage: Eukaryota; Fungi; Ascomycota; Dothideomycetes; Botryosphaeriales; Botryosphaeriaceae.
UCCGUAGGUGAACCUGCGGAAGGAUCAUUACCGAGUUGAUUCGAGCUCCGGCUCGACUCUCCCACCCUUUGUGUACCUACCUCUGUUGCUUUGGCGGGCCGCUCCGGCGCCCGCCAGAGGGCUUCAAAACUCCAGUCAGUGAACGUCUCAGUCUGAAAAACAAGUUAAUAAACUAAAACUUUCAACAACGGAUCUCUUGGUUCUGGCAUCGAUGAAGAACGCAGCGAAAUGCGAUAAGUAAUGUGAAUUGCAGAAUUCAGUGAAUCAUCGAAUCUUUGAACGCACAUUGCGCCCCUUGGUAUUCCGGGGGGCAUGCCCGUUCGAGCGUCAUUUCAACCCUCAAGCUCUGCUUGGUAUUGGGCUCCGUCCUCUGCGGACGCGCCUCAAAGACCUCGGCGGUGGCGUCUUGCCUCAAGCGUAGUAGAAAACACCUCGCUUUGGAGCGCACGGCGCCGCCCGCCGGACGAACCUUUGAAUUAUUUUCUCAAGGUUGACCUCGGAGCAGGUAGGGAUACCCGCUGAACUUAAGCAUAUC